AAAACUUUAAAUAGUCACAAAUUGUGAACAUGUUGUAAAGUGCUCCACUAGGAGGCAGUGCAGCAUUCUCACCCGAGCAUGAAGCUGACUUUUGGUGUUGCUUUCCUGCAACUGCUAUUUGCCAUUGAUGAUUGUUCUUCUCUUCCUCUGGGAGAGUGAGGGAGAGGACGCAGCCUGAGUGGU
This 183-nucleotide small nucleolar RNA is filed under the name Carlito syrichta (Philippine tarsier). Its description in RNAcentral is "Small nucleolar RNA U3 (ENSTSYG00000022178.2)". The stretch from base 44 to 183 matches the Rfam family "Small nucleolar RNA U3", at positions 76 to 219 of the family's 219-position model. From Rfam's summary of the family: Small nucleolar RNAs (snoRNAs) are involved in the processing and modification of rRNA in the nucleolus. There are two main classes of snoRNAs: the box C/D class, and the box H/ACA class. U3 snoRNA is a member of the box C/D class. The record is from RNAcentral. Lineage: Eukaryota; Metazoa; Chordata; Mammalia; Primates; Tarsiidae.